AUGUGCUGGGGAGAAGCCCAGCCCAGCAACAUGCGGCAGGACCACAUCUCGGCAGAGCUGCCACAAACAGAGUGAAUGCAGAGCCAUCAAGAGCCAAGUUCUACAAGAGAUAAAUCAGCUGAGACUACCACUAGACAUCUGCAAGCAGAAGAUUAGGAGAGUAAAUUUGCGAGACACAUAUGCAUAUGACCCAGAAACCAAGUUGCGUGAAACUACCAUGGUUUGUGCCUCGAUAGGUUGAACAAGGACAUGGUGAGAAGACAGCCAUCUGCAAGCCAGAAAGAGCGCUAACCAGAACGCAACCAUGUGGAUACCCCGAUCUCAUAGUCCCAGCCUCCAAAACUGUGGGCCUCUCCCAGAUGGCAACUUGUUUAUCAAAGCAUGAAAACCAAGAAGGUGAUAAAGAAAGUCUGCUAGCAAGACAUAAGUCACAAUCUUUUGUAAUCUAUUUAUGAAAGUGACAUCCCAUCAUCUUGACCACAAUCUAUUGAUUAGAAACAAGUACAGCUCACCCUCAACAAGAGGAGAUAAUAUCCAGGUGUGAAUUGCACAAGACUAAUCCAGUGGAAAAACUAUAUUCGACCCAAGGAUCUGUAUCCACACAGUUUGACAAUAAUUUACUUCUUUCUGGAAGCGAUGAGCACAGUGUAAUUCCUGAGAAAUUUUAAUAAUGAUAUUUUAAUUAUAAUUAAGUGAAACCUAGCAAAGUUGGCUGUAUCUGGAGGAACUCCACUGUGGGAAACAGAUUCUUAAGAUGGCUGAAGAUGGCUGUUUCGCUGCAUCAAUGUGUGACUUUCAAUAGAUGAUCGAAGAUGGCUGUUUGGCACUGUGUCUGAAUUAAGCCAGAAGGAAGGAGGAAGAAGAUGAAGAAAAGGCAUGCCUCUACCCCUUAGGACCACGUCUCUGAAGCUGUAUACAACAUUUCUGCUCUCAUAUAAUUGGGCAGAACUUAGUCAUAGAGCUACAUGUAGUUGCAAGGGAAGCUAUAUGCACUAAUGUGCUUAGUUAAACAUUGGGAUUCUCUUACUAAGGUACAUAAGGAGAACAUAUAUUUGGAGAGGCAACUAUCCAUCUCUGCCACAAGAUCUGAAACAAUUAUUGUGAGACUAUAAACAUAGAAAAAAGCUCCAGAGAUCAGGGGGAAGUCAGAAAUUAUUUGGGAUUCCAGUGAAUGGAAUGUUGACCAUAAAUGAGAAAUGAUGCUUGGGAUAAUUCCUAGCGAGCAUUGGCUUUUAGAGUUGGGAUUGAAGUCAACCAGCUAUAAAGAGCAAGACUGGGUGGGGUACUUUGAAAUGUCAUAUCAUUGUGUAUGGCUUUUGUGGUAGUUACUGCUUCUUUUUAGAAUAAUUCUCAUAACUAGGUAGAAAGCUCACCUUUGAAACUUCUGCAUGCCUAAUAAAAUGCUUCACUCACACCC
RNAcentral lists this long non-coding RNA (1417 nucleotides) under Homo sapiens (human). Its description in RNAcentral is "novel transcript". The record is from RNAcentral. Lineage: Eukaryota; Metazoa; Chordata; Mammalia; Primates; Hominidae.